Long non-coding RNA from Myotis brandtii (Brandt's bat), 3332 nucleotides. RefSeq lists it as uncharacterized. The record is from RefSeq and is a predicted model, not a curated record. The transcript is spliced from 2 exons. NCBI's taxonomy places the organism in Eukaryota, Metazoa, Chordata, Mammalia, Chiroptera, Vespertilionidae.
GUGUUAUUAUUAAGUCAUAAUCAACCUGAGACUUGACAUUUCUACAUUCUUUUACACUAUCUUUGAAAAGUCUCAUGUUUAUUUUAGAAUUAGAUAUCUCUCCAAGAAAGACAUAACCUUGAAAAAUAUCUCUGACUAGAUUCUAUAGAAAUGCAGGCCAGAACCUGAUUACAUUAGAAAUAUUUAUAUUGACCAUUAUAUACUCUUAUUUUAAUGAGUACCUACAUUUCCAAAAUGCCUGCCUGGCUAUUAUAUUAUAUUUUAAAUCUAGUUGUCCUAGAUUUUUACUUUCAGAUAUAAAUCUUAUAGAGAUUUUUUUUAUGUAGUCUAUUAUAAGCCUAAUGCUUAUUAUGUAUAUCUGUGUUCAGGCAAGAGCCAGGAGUUAUGCCUGCCAACAUUAACUUAUUUUUCUCCCAAUGGGUCCACAUGGGUUUGUCAGGGGGUAGGGAGUGUGGAUCUCUUUGUCUGCUGCACACUAGCAGAGGGUGGAGGGGUGGAGGGUGGCCGACGUUGGAACUUGGUGCAUUGAUCCUAGUCUGGAACUAAGUGCAUAGCAGAAAUGUCUGCACUGUGCUCCUGUGUUCUCAUUUCUACAUUAGCAGUUAAUUAUGUCUCUUAUUUUAAGAAACCCUUUUUUGGCUUUGACUUACUUAGAUGGUAGGAGCACAAAACCUUAUGAAAUGAAAUUUUGAAAAAUAGAGACAUAUUAUUUUUCCCACAUAAUAAAAUGAAGUUCUCCCCACAGGUCUUGGUCAUUCUUUGAAUAAUUUAUUCUGGAAUUGACCUGUGUUUUUUUUUUUAAUCUUUCCCCUUAGUUAAUUGGUUUGAAUCUGAUUCCAUUUUUCCUUAUACCUGCCUUCAAAACACUGUUUAUGGGACAGCAAUACCAGCAGCCCUUACAGCAAUGGAUGUGUUAGAAAUUCUAGCCAUCUAUUGUUCCACUGAUAUGAGUGAUAACAUGCCUUGGUGGGAAGAAACUCAGACUGUGGAAGCUCCACAAUGCCUGUUCUACUCAAGAAUCCUCACUCCAGAAAUUAUGUACUUAUUGGCUAUAUCCAUGUACCUGGCCAUAAUGGAGCCAUUUCAUUGUUCAUCCAGAUUUGGGAAUUUAAGCUUUUAAGAUUUGGAAAUUUUAUGCUACCCACUUUGUUAGGUAGUGUGCUAAAGAAAAAACUUCUAGGGAAAUGGUAUGGGUUUGCUGUCUCAUUUUUCCCUCAACAGUAGGGACAUUCAUCACAUUCAGAUUGCUCUAAGCACUGAGCAAUUCCGCACAAGUGUUUUCUCUCGAUGCUCUUCAGAGAAAGGUUUACCUCAUUUGGCCACUGGAUUCUAGAAACUUUGGGGAGAAUUUUUCCUCACAGUCAGUGCUGAUCCUUUUCUCAAGUCGUAUGCACUCACUCCAUCACAGAGCGCGGCCAAGUAUAAGCGGCGGUUCAGACAAGAAGCCACUGCUUGGUUUGGGAGGCUUUGUCCUGAUCAGUAACAGUCUGAACAGCUGACAAUGAAAACAUGUUAAACUGCUCUGACACCUCUGUGCAAUCCACUAGGAGAGGGAAAAGUUCAAUCUUUUGAACUCUAUUUUGGUUUUAUAAUUUUGAGUGGAAUAUGAGAAUUAUGGGAUUUAGUGAGGAUAUUACAGAGUCGAUUUUAAUAUUGUCUGGCUUUCCAUUGCAUAGUAUGUUUGGGGAGCUAUAAGGAGAAUUGCUUAGGAAUUUUUUUCUUUAAAGAGACCAUUUGGUGCUCUAAUUUGGCAUAGAUGUUUUAGACACGUAAUGGUGUUGAUAUUUCAAAUGUCUGCUAUAAAAAGGUUGUUUUGAGUUUGAGAAUUCAAGAGAGGGAAACUGGGUAAGUUCAUUUUGUUUAUAAGGCAAUGCUUUGCUUAUCUUAGAGGAGUUUUUAUUAUUCCAGUGGCAAAACCUAUUUUGGGUGCAGUUUUGAUUUUCUAUUACUUCAGGUGUGGAGCCAGCUUGGGAACCCUUUGCUCUGUGUGUGAGCCCAGCCCUCAUUCCAUUCCAGCAUUAGCACGGGGGUCAGUAUCAGGGCUGCUGCUCCAAAGGAAGCACCAAGCAGGACUAAUUCCACUUGAUUCAUUUGAACCGAUUUCACUUUUAUCUUGUUAAAUAAAACAGCAAAAAAUGAUUCAGUCUUGCAAAUAAAUAGUCUUUUAAAAUAGUUAACAUUCCCAAUGAUUUCAUCUUAUUUUCUUGUCCCCCAUAAUAAUACUUAAAAAGAAAAAAAAAGUGAAUUUUUAAAAACACUGUCUGUUUCUUUUAGUUGUUGUAAAUGGUAAUUUUCUUUGGUAAUUGUGUCUGUAAUACCCUGUUGGGGAAGACAGCAUUGUAUGUUGAAUACCUACAGUUCUGCCGAUCAGUUUAAAUAUAUAACCUAAAUUUAACCCCCAUAGUACCUCUUCUAGAUACAUCACAUUACCCCUAUUUUGAGGUAAUAAAACUGAGUCGAAAGAUAAGUACCUUGUUCAAGAUUGCUCAGCUAGUACAUUCCAGAGCUGGGAUUCAAACUCUACUCUUUAGAAUUCCAUUAACUACAGAUCUCAUACUUUUUCCAUUAUGUCACACUGACUCUGUUUUUAUGCAAUAUUUAAACCAGAUAUUUAGAUUGAAAAACAUUAGGCAACUACUUUUACUUGUUAAAAUUUAAAGUAACCCUCUAUUUCUUAAGUGAAACAAAAAUUUGUGAAACAGUUUAAACUACCAAUAGACCAGAGAAAUACUGUAACAUCAAAAUGUUCAGUUUAAACCAUUAUUUAAUGCACUUUGGUUGGGUUAAGUUCCUUUGUUUCACUGAACAGUUUUGUGAAUGCUGGGGAAUAAAGAUGUGUUUUGUAGCAGCACAUUAAGCAGCCAUAGUAGUUGUUGUGACCCACAGGUGUCUAAGGAGACUGUUUUCUUGAUGACAUUUCUCUGUCGGUGCUAGAAAAUCUGAGAAAACGGGUAUUGAGAACACCAGAGUGCUUGGUACUAUUAUUCUUUCCUUCGGUAGAAGGAGCCAGUAGUCAGGAGAAACUCCACUCGUGGUAUUUUGGGGUUUUUGACUAAAUGUUUUGGAAAAAUAUAUGUGGGUAUGGUUUAUAUAUCCUGUUUAUAUAUGUGGGGAUACAAUAAUGACAAGUACUUAGAUUUGGGUUAUUUUUUUGUUGUAGUGAGGGAAGUUGGGGGAAGAAUGAAAAUACCAUUUAUCUAAAAAGUUUGGCUAUUUGCAAACAUUGUGAAAUAACAUAAAAAACUCAACUGCCCUAAAAAUAGCUAUUUCAUCUGUCUAUUGUUUGUUUAAACUCUCAUUUAUUUUUUUGGCAUUAAAAUACAAUAAAUCAA